GACGAACCGUCCAAGCGUUAUUCGGAAUCACUGGGCUUACAGAGUUCGUAGGCGGUCCGGUAAGUUAGGUGUGAAAUCCCUCGGCUCAACCGAGGAACUGCGCUUGAUACUGCCGGACUCGAGGGAGAUAGAGGAAAGCGGAACUGAUGGUGGAGCGGUGAAAUGCGUUGAUAUCAUCAGGAACACCGGUGGCGAAGGCGGCUUUCUGGGUCUCUUCUGACGCUGAGGAACGAAAGCUAGGGUAGCGAACGGG
This 253-nucleotide ribosomal RNA is filed under the name uncultured bacterium. RNAcentral's name for it is "partial 16S ribosomal RNA". It matches the Rfam family "Bacterial small subunit ribosomal RNA", at positions 524 to 776 of the family's 1533-position model. The record is from RNAcentral.